GAUGAACGCUGGCGGCGUGCCUAAUACAUGCAAGUCGAGCGAACGGACGAGAAGCUUGCUUCUCUGAUGUUAGCGGCGGACGGGUGAGUAACACGUGGAUAACCUACCUAUAAGACUGGGAUAACUUCGGGAAACCGUAGCUAAUACCGGAUAAUAUUUUGAACCGCAUGGUUCAAAAGUGAAAGACGGUCUUGCUGUCACUUAUAGAUGGAUCCGCGCUGCAUUAGCUAGUUGGUAAGGUAACGGCUUACCAAGGCAACGAUGCAUAGCCGACCUGAGAGGGUGAUCGCCCACACUGGAACGUAGACAGGGACCAGACUACUACGGGAGGCAGCAGUAGGGAAUCUUCCGCAAUGGGCGAAAGCCUGACGGAGCAACGCGGCGUGAGUGAUGAAGGUCUUCGGAUCGUAAAACUCUGUUAUUAGGGAAGAACAUAUUUGUAAGUAACUGUGCACAUCUUGACGGUACCUAAUCAGAAAGCCACGGCUAACUACGUG
This 497-nucleotide ribosomal RNA is filed under the name uncultured bacterium. RNAcentral describes it as "partial 16S ribosomal RNA". It matches the Rfam family "Bacterial small subunit ribosomal RNA", at positions 28 to 507 of the family's 1533-position model. The record is from RNAcentral.